This 440-nucleotide ribosomal RNA is filed under the name uncultured bacterium. RNAcentral's name for it is "partial 16S ribosomal RNA". It matches the Rfam family "Bacterial small subunit ribosomal RNA", at positions 338 to 795 of the family's 1533-position model. The record is from RNAcentral.
CCUACGGGUGGCAGCAGUGGGGGAUAUUGCACAAUGGGGGAAACCCUGAUGCAGCGACGCCGCGUGUGGGAAGACGGUCCUCUGGAUUGUAAACCACUGUCCCCAGGGACGAAGAUGACGGUACCUGGGGAGGAAGCUCCGGCUAACUACGUGCCAGCAGCCGCGGUAAUACGUAGGGAGCGAGCGUUGUCCGGAAUUACUGGGUGUAAGGGGAGCGUAGGCGGGACUGCAAGUUGGGUGUAAAAUCUACCGGCUCAACCGGUAGCCGCACUCAAAACUGCAGUUCUUGAGUGAAGUAGAGGCAGGCGGAAUUCCUAGUGUAGCGGUGAAAUGCGUAGAUAUUAGGAGGAACACCAGUGGCGAAGGCGGCCUGCUGGGCUUUUACUGACGCUGAGGCUCGAAAGUGUGGGGAGCAAACAGGAUUAGAUACCCUAGUAGUC